GACGAACGCUGGCGGCGUGCUUAACACAUGCAAGUCGAACGGAAAGGCCCUGCUUUUGUGGGGUGCUCGAGUGGCGAACGGGUGAGUAACACGUGAGUAACCUGCCCUUGACUUUGGGAUAACUUCAGGAAACUGGGGCUAAUACCGGAUAGGAGCUCCUGCUGCAUGGUGGGGGGUGGAAAGUUUCGGCGGUUGGGGAUGGAUGCGCGGCUUAUCAGCUUGUUGGUGGGGUAGUGGCUUACCAAGGAUUUGACGGGUAGCCGGCCUGAGAGGGUGACCGGCCACAUUGGGACUGAGAUACGGCCCAGACUCCUACGGGAGGCAACAGUGGGGAAUAUUGCACAAUGGGCGGAAGCCUGAUGCAGCAACGCCGCGUGCGGGAUGACGGCCUUCGGGUUGUAAACCGCUUUCGCCUGUGACGAAGCGUGAGUGACGGUAAUGGGUAAAGAAGCACCGGCUAACUACGU
Molecule: ribosomal RNA, 467 nt
Filed under: uncultured bacterium
Lineage: Bacteria
Description: partial 16S ribosomal RNA
Rfam family: Bacterial small subunit ribosomal RNA
Source: RNAcentral